Molecule: ribosomal RNA, 1382 nt
Filed under: Triticum aestivum (bread wheat)
Lineage: Eukaryota; Viridiplantae; Streptophyta; Magnoliopsida; Poales; Poaceae
Description: partial small subunit ribosomal RNA
Source: RNAcentral
GCGUGCAUGAUCUUCAGAUCUUGCUACUGAACUCUGAACUCCAACGGAACGGACCGGCCAAGUGAGCGCAGAGUUUAACUUUUCAUAACGUAAGUUGGUGUUCCCAAGGUUAUAUUGGUGUGGAGCCUUCGUGAGUAUUCCUCUAUUUUCAACAGGAGAACCGACAGAUGUCAAGUCUUUAGGGUUCGUGGUACCGGUUCCUGUUUCUCUGGCCGCACGCCGGAAACACGCGGCGACCACUAUCCUCUCGGUACGGAGAGCUCUGAACGGUGGAGCAGCGAGACGAGGAGAACGAUGAGUACCGAUGACCAGCGACGGAGCGCCGGUGGCCGCCACCGCCGUGGCUACUGCCAGCCCUCAAGCGGAUGUUGCCGAAGUGUCCGCGCUUGGACUGCGAGCUACCGCGGCGGAAGUGUGGCCUACCGGAGGAGUACGACUGGUUGCCGUGGUGAGUCCGUGGCGACGGCAAGGCGCAGCUCCGCUUGCGGUGGCCACGGCGUGCCAGGAAGAGGUGAUGAAAGCAGAAACGGUAGAUGCCCGUCAGGCGGUUGGAUUCGUCGGGGCCGUACCGGAAGAAGCAAAGGCUUAGGUUACUCCACUAGAGGUGACGCUACGGUCCGGUCAAGAACCCGGAGGAGUUGGUGUGGCUACCUCCAUUGGCCUCGCUCGUGUAGAAACGGCACCUCAAGCUAUGCGAGAAGUUGCUGCUGAAGGCGCUGUAGUUGUUGUUGGUGCAGCCUCAGCUGCAGCUAUCGAACCACAGCCAGCAUAGGCGUCACGGGCCCAUGGAGCUACUGAAGCCUAUAUUACCCAUGCCGGGUUUAAAGUUAUUGGAUUCGGACUGGUCACCCGGUACGUCCACACCCACCUGAUGCUGCCGGCCCGGUGUGUCCAGUUGCACUGGUACCGAGGGAACCCGCACCGGUCUGGGUUCAUGGGAGAAGACGUCUGGUGGCAGCUGGAGAGCCCACACCACGACUCGUGCCGCACGUAACCGAAGAGCCGCCGUUGCCCGCGUGAGCGGUGUCCUGUGAAGCAGAAGCCGACCUCGAAACGCGACCUAUCCGGUCGGGGACGCGACUGGUAGAGUCGCGACGGCCGGAACGGCGGCAAUCGGACCGGGUUCGGUUUCAGGUUAAGGUUCUAAGACCUCUAUCACGACCGGCAUUGCAGCCGCUGCCACCAAAGGCGGUAUCCGGAGCCUUAGAUGUAUAAACAUUCGUCACCGCCACGGUCCUAGUUUUGGAACACUACAGUCCAAAACAUGAUCGCUUAAAAACAUCUGUUUAAUUUAUCCUUGUGUUUCCUAACAUUAAGGAAAAAUUUCUAUCAAUCAUAAAGUUUAAAUAAUAGUCACAAAGAAAGUUACGUAAUAGAAACUC